GACGAACGCUGGCGGCGUGCCUAAUACAUGCAAGUUGAGCGCUGAAGGUUGGUACUUGUCCCGACUGGCUGAGCAGCGAACGGGUGAGUAACGCGUGGGGAAUCUGCCUUUGAGCGGGGGACAACAUUUGGAAACGAAUGCUAAUACCGCAUAAAAACUUUAACCACAGUUUUAAGGUUUAAAAGUGCCGUUGCCUCACUCAAAGAUGGUUCCCCGGUGUAUUAGCUAGUUGGUGAGGUAAAGGCCCACCCAGGCGAUGAUACAUAGCCGACCUGAGAGGGUGAUCGGCCACAUUGGGACUGAGACACGGCCCAAACUCCUACGGGAGGCAGCAGUAGGGAAUCUUCGGCAAUGGACGAAAGUCUGACCGAGCAACGCCGCGGGAGUGAAGAAGGGUGUCGGAUCGUAAAACUCUGUUGGUAGAGAAGAACGUUGGUGAGAGUGGAAAGCUCAUCAAGUGACGGUAACUACACAGAAAGGGACGGCUAACUACGUG
Molecule: ribosomal RNA, 496 nt
Filed under: uncultured bacterium
Lineage: Bacteria
Description: partial 16S ribosomal RNA
Rfam family: Bacterial small subunit ribosomal RNA
Source: RNAcentral